GGGUAAUGCCUACCAAGGGGAGACGGGUAGCCGGCUGAGAGGGCGCCGGCCACCUGGGGAUGAGCACGGCCCCAGAUCCUACCGGGGCAGCAGUGGGGAAUAUUGCACAAUGGGCGCAAGCCUGAUGCAGCGACGCCGCGUGAGGGAUGAAGGCCUUCGGAGUUGUAAACCUCUUUUCAGCAGGGAAGAAGCGCAAGUGACGGUACCUGCAGAAGAAGCGCCGGCUAACUACGUGCCAGCAGCCGCGGUAAUACGUAGGGCGCAAGCGUUGUCCGGAAUUAUUGGGCGUAAAGAGCUCGUAGGCGGUUUGUCGCGUCUGGUGUGAAAACUCAAGGCUCAACCUUGAGCUUGCAUCGGGUACGGGCAGACUAGAGUGCGGUAGGGGUGACUGGAAUUCCUGGUGUAGCGGUGGAAUGCGCAGAUAUCAGGAGGAACACCGAUGGCGAAGGCAGGUCACUGGGCCGCAACUGACGCUGAGGAGCGAAAGCAUGGGGAGCGAACAGGAUUAGAUACCCUGGUAGUCCAUGCCGUAAACGUUGGGCACUAGGGUGUGGGGCUCAUUCCACGAGUUCCGUGCCGCAGCAAACGCAUUAAGUGCCCCGCCUGGGGGAGUACGGCCGCAAGGCUAAAACUCAAAGGAAUUGACGGGGGCCCGCACAAGCGGCGGAGCAUGCGGAUUAAUUCGAUGCAACGCGAAGAACCUUACCAAGGCUUGACAUACACCGGAAACUUCCAAGAGAUGGUUGCCCCGCAAGGUCGGUGUACAGGUGGGGCAUGGGUUGUCGUCAGCUCGUGUCGUGAGAAGUUGGGGUUAAGUCCCGCAACGAGCGCAACCC
RNAcentral lists this ribosomal RNA (836 nucleotides) under Oerskovia turbata. Its description in RNAcentral is "bacterial SSU rRNA". It matches the Rfam family "Bacterial small subunit ribosomal RNA", at positions 255 to 1104 of the family's 1533-position model. Lineage: Bacteria; Bacillati; Actinomycetota; Actinomycetes; Micrococcales; Cellulomonadaceae. The record is from RNAcentral.